UAGUCCACGCCGUAAACGAUGUCUGCUAGCCGUUGGGGUCCUUAGGGCCUCGGUGGCGCCGCUAACGCACUAAGCACACCGCCUGGGGAGUACGGUCGCAAGAUUAAAACUCAAAGGAAUUGACGGGGACCCGCACAAGCGGUGGAGCAUGUUGUUUAAUUCGACGCAACGCGAAGAACCUUACCUACACUUGACAUACUCGUCGGGACUUUCAGAGAUGAUUGUCUUCGGUUCGGCCGGACGAUGUACAGGUGCUGCACGGCUGUCGUCAGCUCGUGUCGUGAGAUGUUUGGUUAAGUCCAGCAACGAGCGCAACCCCUAUCGUAUGUUACCAGCAUUUAGUUGGGGACUCAUGCGAGACUGCCGGUGUUAAGCCGGAGGAAGGUGGGGACGACGUCAAGUCAUCAUGGCCCUUACGUGUAGGGCUACAAACGUGCUACAAUGGGAGUUACAGUGGGCAGCAACGUCGCGAGGCGAAGCUAAUCCCUAAAAGCUCUCUCAGUUCGGAUAGGACU
This 515-nucleotide ribosomal RNA is filed under the name uncultured bacterium. RNAcentral describes it as "bacterial SSU rRNA". It matches the Rfam family "Bacterial small subunit ribosomal RNA", at positions 791 to 1304 of the family's 1533-position model. The record is from RNAcentral.